Molecule: long non-coding RNA, 9648 nt
Organism: Ostrea edulis (European flat oyster)
Lineage: Eukaryota; Metazoa; Mollusca; Bivalvia; Ostreida; Ostreidae
Exons: 2
Source: RefSeq, a predicted model, not a curated record
GUUUUCUUCUGACAGGACAUUUCAUUUUUGUUCAGAAUUUGGUUUUUUUUUUUUUUUGGUUUUCCUUUCUUUUGGACUUAUUUCUAAAGUUGCUUCCUUGUUCUGCUAAUCUUAUCUGUAUAUCAGGAAGCUAUUUUCAGCUAGAAUUACUGGGGCACAUUUCCUACAGUGAUCUGAAACAUAUGUUUCAUGCCUGUGAUGUUUCUUAAGUAGUUCCCUAAUCUGAUAGCAGCAACAUGUGUAGAAGUUCACCAUGGAAUAAUAGAAAUUGUUAUAAAAUGAUCAGGAUAAUGUAGGGAAAACACUUGACUAUCCAGAAUCAGUGCUUUCUCGCUGUUGUUCCAAACUUCAAUAAACUGAUCCACAACAAGAUAUUCCUGGAAACAUUUCGCAUUCCUUACUGCUAUAGUAUUUGAAAUUAUCAUGUGCUAGAUAUUUUGUAAAAUAAAAAUUUCCUCUCAAAGUAAAAUCUUUCACAAUUGGAUUUAGAGAUCAGAGUAAAUAUUCAACAGCAGGGGCCCCAUCAGAUGCAAAAGCUUCAAGUGCACACUGUGAUCAUGUUCCCUAUCUAAAGAUAGAAGCAAUGGCUUCUGAAUUGAAUAUCUCAUAACUCUGGAAUGUCUGCUACUGCUUGUCAGCAGGGUGGCAGGCAAUUAUGCAAAAUCUACUUCUCAAAUUCAAGAUGGCUGCCUUGAUUUUUAUCUAUACACAUUGCAAAAUGCUUGCAAUGUGCAAUUUUUCUGCUUUGACUUUUUGAGUCAUGAUGUUGAAACUAACUGUAAACAUACAAUAGUUCCUACAUUUGAUUUAAAUACAGUAUUUUCUGAUAAACUUUUUUUUUGAUUAUGCAUCAUCUGAAGCUUGUAAAUCAUAACUGCAUUUCAAUAAACCAUGUUUAAAAACAUUACAAGAUGAUUAUAACAUCAUAAAAUGCUAACCAAAGUACAAGCACACACAAAUGUGUGUGUUUUUCUCUGGGUUCAAGAUCAUUACACCAUGAGCCUUGAAAUAUAAACCAUAUGCCAUUUUUUGACACUCACUAGAAAGCUCUUCCAUGUUUCUUCUCACAAUUCUUAUAACAAAAACUCAUUACUAAACAUUUUGCUGCAAAGUGGUAAUGCUUCUUUAAUUCAACAUGAUAAUUGGUAUACAAGACAUAAUCCUCUGACUUGCACAUGCCAUAAGUUUGGAGAACACAAAUUUAAUUCAAGAUGCUUUGCUGUAUGUAUCUUUAACAAUAUCAAUAUAUGUUAGCUUUUCACAGAAACCAAACUUAGGACCAAGAAUGCCAAGUCAAUCCAGAGGAACAAAAUGACCACAGUGCCACUAUCUCACACAAGACUGAUCAUUCCACAGAGGAACAAAAUGACCACAGUGCCACUAUCUCACACAAGACUGAUCAUUUGUGGACACCUCUGGACAUCAAAUGGAAACAAUGGAUUUCACUUUACAGUCCACUCAUGACAAAAAAUAAAUCUAUAACAUCAGCACUGUGCCCCAAAACAUGCCCAUUUAAUCCAGAUAUGAAAUAUAAUGCAAUAACUUCAAUACAAAGAUAAAAAAAGUAUCUCUAAACCAUUUGAAACACAAUUGGAUGGGAUUAAGAAAUAGAUGUUAUACCGAGAUCCGUUCUCACCAUAAUUUUCUUUGUCCAACAAUAGAACGAACAUAUACAUUAUGUUCCCCCCCCCCCCCCCCCCAAGUUAAAUACUGAUUAUAUAAAGUCCUUAAGGAUGUAUGCUACAACAGAGAAAUUUGUUGUAAAUGAAAAAUAGAGGAUAUGUACAACAAUAUUUUGAAGUUGAAAAUUUUGAAAUUUACUAUACUUUGUCAAAAAAUACAGUUUUAGUAGAAGGUAAUCUGAAAAAAAUUUAAAACCUCUGCUGGACUCGAACCUGCGACCAACAGUUCAGGAGUCGGUAUUCUAACCUACUGAGCUUAACUCAGCUAGGUAUUUAAAUUGAAAAGGAAAAGUAAAAUAUUGCUAACAUUGUUUUUUUCAUCCAUGUUUUUAAACGAAGUCAGCCAUUAUGACAAUGUAGAGUACCUCCUUAACAAUCUACUGAUUGUGUCUAUAUAUAGAGUAAAUGUUCUACCUUUUUUAUUUACUGAUUUAAUGUCACAUAUGUAACUCUUUACAAAAUUGACUAAUUAAAGACUCCCCAUUUUGAAAAUAAACUACAAUAGGGUAAUUGGUUCUAAAAGGACAAUAGGGUAAUAGCUGGAGUUCCAUAGUUUCCUGAGAUCAUAGGUGGAUUCAACUUUUCAUUCUAUCUUUACUUACUCCAGUCACUAAGAAAGGUUCUAAAUUGAAGGGUUAGGUCUUCUCUAACUUGCCAAUCAAAGUUGCUAGUAAAUAUAGACAAUCUUUCUCAUUAACAAAUUGCAUAAAACGCAGUCAAAACUGAGGAUUUACUUUUGGGAAAUACAGAUUUUUCAUUAUUAUAGAACUAACACAAAACAUGUUUAUUCAUUCUCUAUUAUUUUUGGCAGUUUAUUUGAUCCACUUUUAAAAUAAAUAUAUAUAUUUUUUAAUCUGAAGUUGUGUGAAGUAUGGAUGUCUAUACCACACAACAACUGAUAGACAGAACUUGGCUGCUUCAGAUUUUGGUAACAGAAACAUUCUUCCUAAUCCCAACCACCUGGCAUAAUUUGAAUCAAGUGUGUGCCAUUAAGACAUUCCAGCAAACUAAAAUUUAAAAAUUUCCAACUUGGCAAAAUAAAAUCCAUGUGAGUGCAUUUCUCAUUCGAGUUAUCUUUCCUUAAUUGCAUACAGAAAAAGAUGUAACAGAUGUUUCAAGAGUAAGCAAGAAUUUGACAAAAUAUUCAAAGACAAGGUCUAGCUGUUAGUAAAAUCUUUGAAAUCAGUAAACAUGUAUUGUGAAUUGUCUAAAUUCAGUGGACUUCAGUAACCUGUAAAUGUUAUUUUUUCUAAGAAAUAAAUGUCUAGGUGGUAACUGAGUCAUGAAAACAUGAAAUUAAAAGUAUGGGGUAAUCUGUAAAAUCAGUGAAGCCAAUCAUCCAAAAAACAUUCAUUCCUUAUAUAUUUAUAUUAUAAAUAUAUACAUUCUAAGGUUUUAAGUCCAGUUGAAAGGCUGUUGCUUUUAUUGAGAAAUAAAAUACAUUGAAACAGCACAUAUUUACUACUGACAAAACAUUGGUAUUUAUAGUUGAAAUAGCAAAACUUCCCAACUUCAGGAUCAAUGAAGCAUUAUAAGACACAAUUUCCAAAAUAAUAAAUAUCUAAUGGAGCCAAGAACUUUUGAUAACUUGGAUAAGGAAAACUCUCUCCCUAGAACUGCUCAAGCAUAAAGGAAGACCUGGAUGCUUCCGCAUCCCAUCCUUUUUUUAUUACACAGAAUAUAUAACAGAUCUGCUAAGCCCAACAAGCAAACAAUUCCCUGUGCAAUAUAUCUACAUUUGUAACUACAUCACGUACACUGAAGCAUGACUGAUCAUUCACCCAAGAUGUACAGUUCAGUCAAGUACAGAGUGGGAAGCAAUAAAAAGCAUUCCGUUUUUUGGCCAGAACUGGGGAAAAUUACAUUUUUUUGUAGGAUAUCCUAGAUUUCUGUGUGGUUUGCUUGAGCUUAUGACAUAAUGAAGUCAUAAAGUAAUGGAUUACUCUGUUCUUCCAUUCCCUCCCACAAUUAAUUACAACUGCAAUUUGCAAUGUUUAUUAUAGAUUCUUGUUCUAUUCCCUACUCAUUUAUCACUGGCAAGUGUUCAUAACAGGACCAGGUGUAUGUGGACCCAACUGAUGAUGCAGUAUCAUUAUAAAAAGAUAGUUCCCUUUACUUCUCUCACAACUGCACAAAGCUCAUACAAAACUAAAUAACUGUCCAUACAUAUAUGUUCCUAUAUAUGUAACCCAACAAAUUACAGUUCACUGAUCGAGUGUUGUUAGGAGAGUAUAAAAAUUAUAGUUCACUGAUCGAGUGUUGUUAGGAGAGUAUAAAAAUUCCAGGACAGUAUUAAAGUUUAGGAGUAACAUUAUCAAUGUGAUUUCAAUCCUUCAAAGAGUCUUGCCAACCUAGUUUGUCUGAAACUCGAAUGACUCCAGAAAAACAAAGUCCAGAAAGAAAUGAUUCAUAUAAUUAAUAAUUGGUUGUUUGAUUGUUAUUCACACUAAUCUUUGAACUGCUUAUCAUUUUAAGAUUCUAAAUUGCCCACUCUAAACUGUCUGAUAAUAAUGAUGUUAUAAACACUGCAAUGGUGUUUAUCAAAAUUAAAUGAGAGAUUUGUUUAUGAUCUUCAUGUAAUGCACCAUAUAUAUUUUGAAAGUAACAUCUCAAGGUACAUAACUUUCAACUUUCAGGCGUGUAGACCUAGUUCUUCAAAUUUCAAAAAAAUAUUAUAUCUAUCUUCUCUUUCUGUCAAUCAAUCAUACUCCUACAUAAUUCCAUUUGAAAACCAAGAUUAAAACACUGAUAUUUGGGGUUAAAUCUGCAUCAUAGCCACUAAUAAAAUGUAUGCAUACACAACUUAUUACAGUGUAUAAGCACUUCACAAAGUGUAAUCCUGUCUUUUAUUCCGUCUUUAAAACCUAGUGAACAAUUGCCAGAGCUAAUGGAUUAACUGAGGUUGAGAAGAACAUAUGGUUUACUUUAUCAAGGGUCUCUGGAAUGCCAGAAGCUGCAGCAGAACCAUAAAACAUCUAGAGGGGCCAAUUAAGGGGACAGGGUGCCAAUGAGGGCAUACGACUUGCAAAUACUUAGUUCUAAUUGGAAUUUGAAAUCAAAUGUUUAAUCAGGGCUCUUGGAUCUUUACAUAUAAUACAUGAUGGUUUUACAUUUCUUGAGCUCCAGUUUAAAUUUAUAUUCCAAAUCUCUUCUGUUUUCAAGUAGCAGUGUCUGCCAAGUUUGAUAUAUCUUGUCUUGGGGCCCGAAAACAGGAGAGCCAAACUAACUGGUGAUAGGAAACUCCCAACCAAUCAUUAUCUGAUUCAUCAUAUACAGUAAUGACCAGAGAAUGAUAAGAUUCUAAGAUAUAAUCUAUACAGUUCUUCAUUCCUCCUAUAUCAACUGGGAGGGACACAGUACACCAUCUCUGUCCCCCCUAAGGGGUCCCUAGCUUCUGGGGAGACACAUGUAUUGAGUGUAAUAGAUUAUCUAUGUAUACUGUUGAUGUUUCAUCUGCCAAUGGCUGUGCAUAACCAAAUAUGCUGACAUCUUUCCCAUGGCCCUGCCCGCCUUAUAAGUAACCUAUACAAGCAGAAAGGGCAAUGCUUGGGAAACUCAAACUGCACCUCUCAAAGAAUUUUGUAGCAAGAUUGAACUAUAAAUUUAUUACUAAGCAUUGAUAUGAAUAUUUAUAAAGCAUAACAUAUUUUACGCCCAGAACACUUGUGCCAGGCUACCAAAGAAACGUCAUGUCCCUAAGUGAGCAAGUCUAAAGAAACCCAAGAACUGUUUCAAGUAAAUGCAAUAUAAUGUCAUAUAUAUAGCAAAUGAAAAUCAUCAGAGUAAAGAAUCAGACAGUCAUGUGCAGAUAUUGCCAUUAUACAAAUAAUGCCCUACUCUUGGUAAAAGCAUCAGGGUAACACAGACAUUGACCUCUGACCUUUGGCAGGUAAUGGAGAGGCACAUCUCAAAGGGGGUACUGUAGGAUAACUAACAUUCCAUUCUGAUCAACAAUGAAACUAAGCACAGACAGUGUACAUCUUUAGGCAUACACGAACUGUGAGAGCAUUCAACACUGGGCCAAUGUAUAAAUUCCCUGUUCUCACACACACCAAUGGCACAUGGCAAGCUUCUUGCCAAAUAUAUCUCCUCAUACCUGCGUUCAGGUACGACAAUCACAUGGCUUUUGGUGUUCUUAUGGCUCAGACCUCAGUCGAUGGCCAUCGCUUCAGGAUUAAAUCACAGUUAAAAGGGACCUGUAUAUUCUUCAGAUAUCACUCUGUCUUUACCAUUAUACUUAGAUAUUUAUGUUUGAUACUGGUGAGGAAAUAAUUCAAAACUUGCUGAAAUGUAAGUCAAUUGUUGGUUUUUCUAGUUUGGUGUGUGCUCUGAUUUUUCAUGUCUUUUAUUCUUAAUUCAAAAUAAAAGAAAGCAAUUUUCAUGCAUGAAUAAAAAAAAUUCAUAAUUUUCCAAUAUCAAGAAGAAAUAUUGAAAAUUUGACAAUCCUUUUUCCUUCAAAGUAUCAGUGAAUUUUGAACUUCUGCAUGCAUUUGACUGUUGUAUAAAAGAUUACAAGCCCAAAAUAAUUGCAUCUUACAACUGGUUGAAGGGCACCAUACUGAAUGUUUGUUCCUGAUUGCAGUGUUACCUCCCCUUGUAUAGUAAUAUAAAGUCUUCCUUACUUUUCAUACCCCAAACCAGCUACUGCAACACGUGAGCAGCUGCGACGUUGGUUGCUAUUCUGUAGUUGGUUGAGACUGGGCCAAAUACGUUCAGACAUUCAAAUUUGGUCCCCUUCAACCAGCUGUAGUUAGCACUGUUAUCAUCAGCUAAGUCAUGUCCUGCAUUUUUAAUUUUUACUUUCAGCUCUAAACCUGCUUCAUCAGCUGAUUGCUUGGUAUGAUUUUAGGAGUAUUCAUCAAAAUUCAAGUGAUGGUGGGGAGUUCCUAUUUAAUGUGCUUUGCAUGUAUUUAUUUAUUGCAUCGCAAGUACAUGUACAAAUGUGGCAACUGAAAGAAGACAUUUACUGUUCCAUGAUCAAAACUAGAUUACCUAUUCACUUUGCAUGUUAAUAAGUAGAGAAUUUGUCUGGUAAACUGUUACACUUAAAUGUGUUUAAAUGUGAAUUUUAAAAUCAAGAGAGCAUAGUCAUUCAAAGUAUUUUCAAUGUUUACAGACUGGGCUGUUAACGUGUACUUUAAUAUCUUUCAAACAGUGACCUCUGUAACUUUUUAUUGAAUGCAUACUGCAGUGAGGAAAUAGUGUAGUUCUUCACAAUGUGCAGUCUUGAAAUGAACUACCUAGUAAACAUGAUUUAAAGUACACAUAUAUGCAUUGUAGGUUCUAAAUACAACACUGUGGUUCCAUUAUCAAAUAUCACUGAAAGCUACUCAGGGACAAUUACAUUCUUUCUCUUUUAACAAGUAUAAUACAGUUAAUUCUCAUUACACCACUACCUUCUGUAAUUUGGAAAAUGUGGUGGUAUAACGAAUUUUGCAAUGAAUUGAAUGUAGAGAAUAUCAAUGGAUGGUUUGAUCAUACACAUUCAAUAUUUAUUUGCCAUUCAUUUAUUGCACACCUUAAAAUACAUUCAUGAUACCCUAUAUUCAUUAUAGGUAAAAUAUUUCGUUCUACAAUAAAAUGCGUCUGUUAAUUAUCAAAUAAAGAAAUAUCAUCAGUAGGAUUCAUAUAAAACACAUCUUUUGACUACUUCAUUUUUUCUUUACUAUUUCAUUUUAUCUCACAAUGGUAUCAAAAUAAUGAAGUCUUUUAAACAAGAGUAUAGUUACUUCUCCAGCCCUUCGUCACUCCAACUUUCACAGAGGUCAACAGUUUCCAAGCAUAUUUUACACACUCAAAAGGAUGUGAACACAUUCUAUUGUUUUAUCUGAAAUUCAAAGCACCUCUUCUGUGAAGAUGCAUAAUUGGACUUCAGAAUUUCACUUAUCCUUACAAAAAAAUAUCUUGUUUAUCUUUAAAUUACCUGUAAGGCCUAUGGAUGGCAAUUCACUAUAGUGAUCUAAGACUACAAAUGAAUAGUUACACUGAUCACACACCUUUGGAAGUAUAUAUUGAGACAUUUGACACUAAUAUAGACAUUUGUUUUGAAAAGUGGGUGGCGGAUGGUGAUAUGCAAAGUUGGUGUUAUAACAGAUUUCUAUAGUAGGAAUGAUGUUUCUGACAAAAUGUGGUGAUAUAAGUGAAAAUGCAUGGUGAUGAAUUAAGAAGCAAUAAUUGGAGACAUAACUGUAACAGACAGCAGAUUCUUUUUUUAGUGUCAAAUGCCCUCGUAGAGGCUACCACAAUAUCAAACUAUCAUAUUCUGAAUGUUUUCUAACUCCUAAAUGGCUAUGUUCCUCCUGUCUGGUUUUUUGACAAGUAUACAGGGUAAAAUCCUACACAAUACUAGUCAAACAUCAUUGUGGUUACAUUAUUGCUGCAUGAUUACCAGUCAUUUUUAAAAGUACAAACACACAAUGAAUCAAAUUAUUUUUCAUGGGUACAUACAAAUCAUUCUUUUGGACAUAUGCUGAUCUUGAUCAUCAAGGCCAAUGAGUUUGGUAAAAAAGAAAAAUUACUUGGGAUAUUAAUUAGUAACAUGGUAGUAUUUGAUAUGUGUAAACCAAAAUUUAAAAACUUGAUGCAAAGAUGUAUUUGAGAUAUCUCAACUUUUCAUUUUCAAAUCAAGGUAUCAGCCAUGUUUAUGUUUACAUGUUAUGUGACUCAGCUAUCAACAAUUGGCGCCAAAGUUGAUGGAUAGAGAAAAGAGCUUUUACAACAAAAAUUUUCAGUUCUUACUUGUGCUUGCUUCCUAAAUUGAUUUAGCAAUAAUCUCUGUCGAAAUGCUGAAUUCUAUUGACACACAUUUUAGAAAUCUUGGUGUUCUCACCUCUGUGGUUUGCAAGUAUUUGUUCACUGUUCUAUGCAAUGUGCACUUAUUUGUCUCACUCAAGAUAUAUAUUGACAUCAUCGUUACAAAAAGGAUUUGGGGAGCUGGGUUUUAUGUAAAUAUAGUGUAUCCUGUGUAAAAAUAUUUUUAAUCCACUUAUUUAUAAAAGAUCUUUAUUUCUAUAACAAAAUACUAUCAAUUUCAAUCGAUCAAAAAUUGUGUCCAUGUCUCUUUAAUGUCUAGUUAGCACUAUAUAAAUGUGAGUGUCAAUUAUGACAAGGAAACAUUCAUAGAACUUUCACUAUAACUUUCAUGCAAAUGGGUCCAGGACUGAAUAGAUGGUGAAACAAAAAGCAGCAGCUAUUAAUAUAUUGCUGGCAUGAUUGUCAAAGGAUUUGAUAAUUUUCAUCUACUUUAUGGAGUAUCUACAAAAAGUUUACUAUUUGUGAGAAAACAUAAUUUCAAUGAAUGCACAUGCUAUGGAACUCAUCCAUCGUACGUAAAGUUUAUGGUAUUAGAAGUUGUAUUGUAGUUCAAUAUUUCACUUCUGUACAUAAUAUUAAUUUCUUAUCCUUGUAUUUUUCAGGGUUUCUUUUCAAGAAGCACCAGCUAAUGCAGCAUCAUGUUUAUUUAUAAACAGAAGAUCAAAUUUUAAUCAUUGUUUUGAAAAAUCUGAGGCUGUUUUUGAUCCUACAUUUCAUUCAUAGGAUCAAAUUUCUUAAUCUACAACAGAAGUUUAGAGACUAUGUUUUAGUGACACACUCUUUCCAAUUAAGAUUAUGUUAACCCAAUCCAACUCUCUCCUUCUCUUACAAAUUCCACAUCUUUCACCAGCAUUUUUUCAAUUAAACAUAAAAACAGGUAUUACAUCAGUAUUCUAUUACACAGUAAUCCAUAAUAAUGAUUUACAUUCCCUUACAUAAUCUGUCCUAUGUAAACCCACAGUGCAAGGCAGGAUAAUGUUUUGCAUCUGUGUGACAAUGUGCUUUCUCCUCUGCUAAUUAUAUUGCCAUGCCCUACCCCAAUAAGCAUCUGGAGGACAAAUUUCCUAGAGAACAAAGUACAAGAAUGCCAGAACAGCUCUAAUAAGGCUGCAGUAAAAUAAAGUCUACUCUGGAUAAAGUGAAAUUCAGACAA